This 798-nucleotide ribosomal RNA is filed under the name Bacillus sp. PRS-6. RNAcentral's name for it is "bacterial SSU rRNA". It matches the Rfam family "Bacterial small subunit ribosomal RNA", at positions 26 to 797 of the family's 1533-position model. The record is from RNAcentral. Lineage: Bacteria; Bacillati; Bacillota; Bacilli; Caryophanales; Bacillaceae.
UGACGACGAUGGCCCAGCGUGAUCCUCCCUCCAAGUCGAGCGAACAGAAAAGGAGCUUGCUCCUUUGACGUUAGCGGCGGACGGGUGAGUAACACGUGGGCAACCUACCCUAUAGUUUGGGAUAACUCCGGGAAACCGGGGCUAAUACCGAAUAAUCUCUUUUGCUUCAUGGUGAAAGACUGAAAGACGGUUUCGGCUGUCGCUAUAGGAUGGGCCCGCGGCGCAUUAGCUAGUUGGUGAGGUAACGGCUCACCAAGGCGACGAUGCGUAGCCGACCUGAGAGGGUGAUCGGCCACACUGGGACUGAGACACGGCCCAGACUCCUACGGGAGGCAGCAGUAGGGAAUCUUCCACAAUGGGCGAAAGCCUGAUGGAGCAACGCCGCGUGAGUGAAGAAGGUUUUCGGAUCGUAAAACUCUGUUGUAAGGGAAGAACAAGUACAGUAGUAACUGGCUGUACCUUGACGGUACCUUAUUAGAAAGCCACGGCUAACUACGUGCCAGCAGCCGCGGUAAUACGUAGGUGGCAAGCGUUGUCCGGAAUUAUUGGGCGUAAAGCGCGCGCAGGCGGUCCUUUAAGUCUGAUGUGAAAGCCCACGGCUCAACCGUGGUAGGGUCAUUGGAAACUGGGGGACUUGAGUGCAGAAGAGGAAAGUGGAAUUCCAGGUGUAGCGGUGAAAUGCGUAGCAGAUUUGGACGGAACACCAGUGGCGACGCGACUUUCUCGUCUGUAACUGACGCUGAGGCGCGACAGCGUGGGGUAGCUAACAGGAUAGAUAAACCCCCUGUGUUAGUUCCA